This 450-nucleotide ribosomal RNA is filed under the name uncultured bacterium. Its description in RNAcentral is "partial 16S ribosomal RNA". It matches the Rfam family "Bacterial small subunit ribosomal RNA", at positions 354 to 796 of the family's 1533-position model. The record is from RNAcentral.
GUGGGGAAUAUUGGACAAUGGGCGAAAGCCUGAUCCAGCCAUGCCGCGUGUGUGAAGAAGGUCUUCGGAUUGUAAAGCACUUUAAGUUGGGAGGAAGGGCAGUAAGUUAAUACCUUGCUGUUUUGAUGUUACCGACAGAAUAAGCACCGGCUAACUUCGUGCCAGCAGCCGCGGUAAUACGAAGGGUGCAAGCGUUAAUCGGAAUUACUGGGCGUAAAGCGCGCGUAGGUGGUUUGGUAAGUUGGAGGUGAAAUCCCCGGGCUCAACCUGGGAACUGCCUCAAAAACUACUGAGCUAGAGUACGGUAGAGGGUAGUGGAAUUUCCUGUGUAGCGGUGAAAUGCGUAGAUAUAGGAAGGAACACCAGUGGCGAAGGCGACUACCUGGACUGAUACUGACACUGAGGUGCGAAAGCGUGGGGAGCAAACAGGAUUAGAAACCCGUGUAGUCC